Molecule: unclassified non-coding RNA, 300 nt
Filed under: Hevea brasiliensis (rubber tree)
Lineage: Eukaryota; Viridiplantae; Streptophyta; Magnoliopsida; Malpighiales; Euphorbiaceae
Source: RNAcentral
AUGCUUGUUAUCCUAAAUUAAAAUGGUAUCCUCUGAGCAUGUGUUUGCUUGCAUAUCUUCCUUUCUUCAGUUCCAAUGGCUUUCUAAGUCGAUGAACCCAAAAGAAUUAAAGGCUGACAUAGUUGCCAAGAAACAGAUGGAAAUAAGUCACCGAUAUUGGGGGUAGGUGGAAAAUGGCCUAGACCUGCAUAUAAAUAAGGCAUGGGCGGCUUGAAUCUGAUAUUUAAAAAUAUGCACGUGAUGACCGAGAGUUUCUCCAAACUAAAAUGUUGCUCUCUCUAUAUCUCUGGAAAAAUAAAU